Molecule: ribosomal RNA, 496 nt
Filed under: uncultured bacterium
Lineage: Bacteria
Description: partial 16S ribosomal RNA
Rfam family: Bacterial small subunit ribosomal RNA
Source: RNAcentral
AUGAACGCUGGCGGCGUGCCUAAUACAUGCAAGUCGAGCGAACAGACGAGGAGCUUGCUCCUCUGACGUUAGCGGCGGACGGGUGAGUAACACGUGGAUAACCUACCUAUAAGACUGGGAUAACUUCGGGAAACCGGAGCUAAUACCGGAUAAUAUAUUGAACCGCAUGGUUCAAUAGUGAAAGACGGUUUUGCUGUCACUUAUAGAUGGAUCCGCGCCGCAUUAGCUAGUUGGUAAGGUAACGGCUUACCAAGGCAACGAUGCGUAGCCGACCUGAGAGGGUGAUCGGCCACACUGGAACUGAGACACGGUCCAGACUCCUACGGGAGGCAGCAGUAGGGAAUCUUCCGCAAUGGGCGAAAGCUUGACGGAGCAACGCCGCGUGAGUGAUGAAGGUCUUCGGAUCGUAAAACUCUGUUAUUAGGGAAGAACAAAUGUGUAAGUAACUAUGCACGUCUUGACGGUACCUGAUCAGAAAGCCACGGCUAACUACGUG